This 253-nucleotide ribosomal RNA is filed under the name uncultured bacterium. RNAcentral's name for it is "partial 16S ribosomal RNA". It matches the Rfam family "Bacterial small subunit ribosomal RNA", at positions 524 to 776 of the family's 1533-position model. The record is from RNAcentral.
UACAGAGGUCUCAAGCGUUGUUCGGAAUCACUGGGCGUAAAGGGCGCGUAGGCGGCCAUCUAAGUCAGACGUGAAAUCCCCCGGCUUAACCUGGGAACUGCGUCUGAUACUGGAAGGCUUGAGUAUGGGAGAGGGAUGUAGAAUUCCAGGUGUAGCGGUGAAAUGCGUAGAUAUCUGGAGGAAUACCGGUGGCGAAGGCGGCAUCCUGGACCAUUACUGACGCUGAGGCGCGAAAGCUAGGGGAGCAAACGGG